AGCUCGUCAGCGUAAUUUGUUCACUUACAUUAGCUGCUGAAUGGAGAAGCUGAAGAGAUGGAUAUGGUAAUACAAUGUGAAGCAUACAGACAAGAACAACAUGUGAGCUAACUGCAUUCUGCUCAGACAAAAAAAAAAAAAGGUUUUCAGCAAUAUUCUUUUUUUCUUUUUUAAUCCAGCCAACAGUGAAGAAGGCAGGAGAGAGAGCAUGAGAGCGAGCGAGACGGAGAUUGACGGACACACACACACAACACACACACGCACAGGCGCACCCAGUCAUGUGCAAAGUAAGAUGACGGUCAUAUGCUGACAGACCCUGACAGUGUGCAUACACUCAGACAAACUGAAUAAGACACAUGAAAAAUCAGCACACGCUGAAAAAAUAAAAAUAAUAAUUAAAAAAACAAUCUGGCCAAAAACAACAAAGUAAAAAACAAGUGGAAAAUUGAUCAACAGUGUCUGCACACAUAGAGAAAA
Long non-coding RNA from Thalassophryne amazonica, 477 nucleotides. RefSeq lists it as uncharacterized. The record is from RefSeq and is a predicted model, not a curated record. Lineage: Eukaryota; Metazoa; Chordata; Actinopteri; Batrachoidiformes; Batrachoididae. The transcript is spliced from 2 exons.